GAUGAACGCUGGCGGCGUGCCUAAUACAUGCAAGUCGAGCGAACAGACGAGGAGCUUGCUCCUCUGACGUUAGCGGCGGACGGGUGAGUAACACGUGGAUAACCUACCUAUAAGACUGGGAUAACUUCGGGAAACCGGAGCUAAUACCGGAUAAUAUAUUGAACCGCAUGGUUCAAUAGUGAAAGACGGUUUUGCUGUCACUUAUAGAUGGAUCCGCGCCGCAUUAGCUAGUUGGUAAGGUAACGGCUUACCAAGGCAAUGAUGCGUAGCCGACCUGAGAGGGUGAUCGGCCACACUGGAACUGAGACAAGGUCCAGACUCCUACGGGAGGCAGCAGUAGGGAAUCUUCCGCAAUGGGCGAAAGCCUGACGGAGCAAAGCCGCGUGAGUGAUGAAGGUCUUCGGAUCGUAAAACUCUGUUAUUAGGGAAGAACAAAUGUGUAAGUAACUAUGCACGUCUUGACGGUACCUAAUCAGAAAGCCACGGCUAACUACGUG
RNAcentral lists this ribosomal RNA (497 nucleotides) under uncultured bacterium. RNAcentral's name for it is "partial 16S ribosomal RNA". It matches the Rfam family "Bacterial small subunit ribosomal RNA", at positions 28 to 507 of the family's 1533-position model. The record is from RNAcentral.